Molecule: microRNA precursor, 67 nt
Filed under: Limulus polyphemus (Atlantic horseshoe crab)
Lineage: Eukaryota; Metazoa; Arthropoda; Merostomata; Xiphosura; Limulidae
Description: Lpo-Mir-750-P6_pre stem-loop
Source: RNAcentral
AGCUGGAAGUAGGGGUCUCGACAUCAGAAUUAUUUGAAGAUAUGUCAGAUCUAACUCUUCCAGCUCA